This is an RNA transcript of Phragmites australis (common reed), 1339 nucleotides long. It is a transcript of the gene named cysteine-rich receptor-like protein kinase 29, with no coding region annotated. Lineage: Eukaryota; Viridiplantae; Streptophyta; Magnoliopsida; Poales; Poaceae. The transcript is spliced from 5 exons. The record is from RefSeq and is a predicted model, not a curated record.
UUAAUACACCGGUAGUUCAACAAUCUUAGUUUUUUUUUUCUAAGAUACCUUCUGUUUGAUUAGGGAUGGAGAGUGCAGUAAGUCAAUACGAUAUAUAUGACGAGCAGUUGCAGGAUCAAAGUGCAGAAGUAAAAUCUCUGCCACUAGAAUUUUUGAAAGCCAUAACAUGCAAUUUUUCCACUGAACGAGAAAUUGGCAAGGGUGGGUAUGGAGUGGUUUACAAGGGUGUUCUCGGGAGUGGUCGUGUUAUUGCUGUGAAGAAGCUUAUUGGAAAUGUACACUUGGAUGAUGCUGAGUUUAUAGAGGAGGUCAUUAAUCUUGUGGGGAUCAAGCACCAAAAUGUAGUACAACUUGUAGGUUUCUGUGCUGAAACAAAGAAGGAAUUAUGGUCCAUGGGCGGAAAGAAUAUUUUGGCUGACGUACCUACUCGGUUGCUCUGCUUCGAGUACCUAUGCAAGGGAAGCCUUGAUAAGUAUAUUUCCGAUGAAUCUUCGGGCCUCGACUGGAACUCGAGAUACAAGAUUAUUAAGGGAAUUUGUAGAGGUUUACAUUUCCUUCAUACGGAACACAAGAUUGUUCAUCGGGACCUGAAACCUGAAAAUAUAUUGAUGGAUGCUGAUAUGGUGCCGAAAAUUGCGGAUUUUGGUUUGUCAAAGCUCUUGGGUGAACAAAAAUCCCAAACUAUGACUAAAACUAAGCCGGGAUCACUUGGAUAUAUGGCACCAGAAUACCUAAUGGAAGGCGUAAUAUCCCACGAGGCAGAUAUAUUCAGUUUGGGUGUUAUAAUUAUAGAGAUACUCACUGGAGCAAAGAACUAUCCCUAUGGUUUCCAGAGAACCGAAACAGGAUCUAUCCAACAGUUUGCGGGCAAAGUAAGAUCAGUAAUUCUAGCUUUUGCAUAUCAUUAUUUCUAGCUCACUUAUGCAAAUGUGUAGGUGUGUGGAAGUUGGACGACCAUAUUUCAAGCAGAAUCAUCACUGGAAAUUUAUACCCAACAAGUGGAAAAAUGCAUCGACAUAGCCCUAAAAUGUGUGGACCCUAUCAGAAAGAAAAGGCCUAAUGCAUCGGACAUAAUUGAAGCUCUUGAUACUGCAUAAAGAAGUUGAGGUGUUGAAAAUGUCAAAGUUUCAAUGCUGGACCAGGUUAUUGACGUGUAUCAGUAGAAGAAAAUAAAGAAAGCGUUGAGAAAAUGGGAAAAUAAGGAAAUGUUGACAGUGAAGUAAAUUAGUGGUCGUUCUUCUUAAAAACUUGUUCUUCUUAAAGUCAUCAAAAUUUACAAUUAAUUGGGGUACUGACCUGCUAUACAGUAAGCAUUCACUACUUAAGGAAGCAGUGAAUA